CCUCACAUCCUGAGCCCUCUGCAGAACCAGGGCUCUGCUGGACUAAACUUCUAAUUCUAACCUGUGUGGUCUCUGUCCUGAUGAACAUUGCCUGUGUGUGUGUGCUCUGUUGCAGGGUACAAGGUAUUGCAGGAUCCACACACGCAUGCAGCUGUAACAGCACCAGUACUGAGGAGUCAGUUCAGAAGGAACCAGCUGUGCACUAUGCCACCCUAGUACAUGAUGCACUGGUCCAAGACGUGGUUAAACUGCACACUGCACCUGCUUUGGACAGUGUCACUUAUGCAAAGGUCACAAAAGGUCACAUCAGUGCCCCAGUAUGAGGUGUCGCAGGUGUAUGGUUAACUAAACCCUGAGCAGGUACCUGGUUAACUAACUGGACUGCUGAAGUAACCAGCAGAAUACCAUGUAGACAAUUUAUAAAAAUAUAAAGUUAAAACUACAUUAAUUAAUUUUUAGUUAGAAAAAAAUGUUAGAUAAAAAAAUAAUUUUCCUUCUUAUAUGUGUAAAAGUUUUAGUUUGAUCAUUAGUGUCACAGUACCCCUGCUGGUAGAUAAAGGACGUUUAAAGACUUUCAUUGCUGACAGAAAUGUAUUAUAAUUACAUCUUUGCUGUGUGCUU
Long non-coding RNA from Electrophorus electricus (electric eel), 621 nucleotides. RefSeq lists it as uncharacterized. Lineage: Eukaryota; Metazoa; Chordata; Actinopteri; Gymnotiformes; Gymnotidae. The record is from RefSeq and is a predicted model, not a curated record.